Molecule: non-coding RNA, 467 nt
Organism: Notechis scutatus (mainland tiger snake)
Lineage: Eukaryota; Metazoa; Chordata; Lepidosauria; Squamata; Elapidae
Source: RefSeq, a predicted model, not a curated record
GAAGAGUACAUGGGGAUGGAGAUAUUACUAAUAGGAAUAAUACACUGUAUAGAAUAUCAAUCCUUCUCAAUAUUCCCCAUAUUUAGGCUUAUAUCUGGAUUCUUUUCUCCUCUUUCCUCUUCCUUGGAAUGACUUGCACCCAUUAUAGUAGUUCUUCCAAACUGAUGCCCUCUGUAACUGAAUUACAAUUUCAUAACAUCCAGUUGGCAUGGCCAUGAAGCUAAAGAGUUAGUAGGAAUGGAAUCAUUUUAAUAUACCAAAGAAAGAUAAUGCAUUAUUUAUUAGAUUUCUUUUAUCCUGCCUUUAUUUCAUAAAUAACUCAAGGCAAUGAACAUAAUAUUCCCUCCUCCUCCCAUUUCCUCACAGCAACAAUCCUAUGAGAUGAGUUGGCCCAAAGUCACUUAGCUGGCUUUCAUGCCUAAGGUGGGACUGGAACUCACCACCAGUAGCACUUUAACUACUACACC